UCUAGAAUGUAAAAUAUUAUAUAUUAUUAUAUAUAUUAUACAUUCUAAGUUAAAUUAUAAUAUAAAGAAUUGAAUUUUUGUUUCGUGCAUAAUUGAAAACCUAAUGAAAAACCUAAUAAAAUUCUUUUUAUUAUUCUAAGGUGUUGGGAAACCAACAAAAUCUGAUUCAUUAUAAUGCAUAAUUAAUAUCUUUUGCAGAAUAAUGUCAUGUUUUGCAUAUUUCGCAUAAUAUAACCAAAACAUAUUUUUGUCAUAACAUAUGACAAUUUUAAUUCGCCGUUGAUCGAAGUAAAUUGAAAUUUUGUGCAAUGCCAUUAGAUAUGCCAUUAGAUAGAAUCUCUGGAUCUUAUAACGUAUUAAAAUGGCGUAGCAUUAGUGUUUGUGCUGAUUUAAGUCUUUUGUAUGGAGUGUUAACAUCGAAAGAUAGGAAGGCUAAAAACAAGUAUAAAUGUAACUCAAAGAGUAGAAUUCGAUAAAGAGAGAAUGUACAUGUUUGAUCGCAAAAAAUGAUAACAUGCCGGUGCAAUGUAAAGCCUAUCGCACAAUGGCAAGAAACAGGAACAGGAAACAGAAAUUAUAAAUAAGAAAUUAUUACUGACGUAUAAAUCUUGACCUUUGUUGUCAACCAUUCGUAUUUCAUGCGUUUUUUGUUGUGAAUCGAGAAGAUCGAUGAUGUGUUCGUUGUAAAUUUCUAAGAAGCUUGCUUCUAUCUGGUAUCAUGCCUUCAGUUUGCAAGCCACACUCUCCCUCCAUAGUAUAUGUUUUACCGGAACCAGUUUGGCCAUAAGCGAAUACACAAACAUUAUAUCCUUCAAGUGCAGACUGUACCAAAAGGGAUAAUUCUUCAAAUAUAUCCGCUUGAGAUGCGUUGGGUGUAAACACUUUA
Molecule: long non-coding RNA, 886 nt
Organism: Monomorium pharaonis (pharaoh ant)
Lineage: Eukaryota; Metazoa; Arthropoda; Insecta; Hymenoptera; Formicidae
Exons: 3
Source: RefSeq, a predicted model, not a curated record